This 552-nucleotide ribosomal RNA is filed under the name uncultured bacterium. RNAcentral describes it as "partial 16S ribosomal RNA". It matches the Rfam family "Bacterial small subunit ribosomal RNA", at positions 355 to 920 of the family's 1533-position model. The record is from RNAcentral.
UGGGGAAUAUUGCACAAUGGGCGAAAGCCUGAUGCAGCAACGCCGCGUGAGUGAUGAAGGCCUUCGGGUUGUAAAGCUCUGUCUUUUGGGACGAUAAUGACGGUACCAAAGGAGGAAGCCACGGCUAACUACGUGCCAGCAGCCGCGGUAAUACGUAGGUGGCAAGCGUUGUCCGGAUUUACUGGGCGUAAAGGAUGCGUAGGCGGAUUUUUAAGUGAGAUGUGAAAACCCUAAGCUUAGCUUGGGGGACUGCAUUUCAUACUGGAAAUCUAGAGUGCGGGAGAGGAGAAUGGAAUUCCUAGUGUAGCGGUGAAAAUGCGUAGAGAUUAGGAAGAACACCAGUGGCGAAGGCGAUUCUCUGGACCGUAACUGACGCUGAGGCAUGAAAGCGUGGGUAGCAAAACAGGAUUAGAUACCCUGGUAGUCCACGCCGUAAACGAUGAGUACUAGGUGUAGGAGGUAUCGACCCCUUCUGUGCCGCAGUUAACACAAUAAGUACUCCGCCUGGGAAGUACGAUCGCAAGAUUAAAACUCAAAUGAAUUGACGGGGUC